UACGUAGGGUGCGAGCGUUAAUCGGAAUUACUGGGCGUACAGGGUGCGCAGGCGGCGUCGCAAGUCAGGCGUGAAAUCCCCGGGCUUAACCUGGGAACUGCACUUGAAACUACGAUGCUGGAGUAUGGCAGAGGGAGGUGGAAUUCCACGUGUAGCGGUGAAAUGCGUAGAGAUGUGGAGGAACACCGAUGGCGAAGGCAGCCUCCUGGGCCAAUACUGACGCUCAUGCACGAAAGCGUGGGGAGCAAACAGG
This 253-nucleotide ribosomal RNA is filed under the name uncultured bacterium. RNAcentral's name for it is "partial 16S ribosomal RNA". It matches the Rfam family "Bacterial small subunit ribosomal RNA", at positions 524 to 776 of the family's 1533-position model. The record is from RNAcentral.